This is a long non-coding RNA of Dermacentor albipictus, 363 nucleotides long. RefSeq lists it as uncharacterized. The record is from RefSeq and is a predicted model, not a curated record. NCBI's taxonomy places the organism in Eukaryota, Metazoa, Arthropoda, Arachnida, Ixodida, Ixodidae.
CGCAGGGGCAGUCGGGUAUUACACAAUUGUUGUUCGUAGGUGGAUCUGGUCGGCCAUUUACGAUACCAGGAAAGCAGUCAGAAGAGCCUGCACUAUGAAGAGAACAACAUUUUGUCUUCUAUUUGUUACCCUAUGUAUUGUGAGUUGCCAAUGUCGUCCCCGAACUGCCGCCAGUAAGAUUAUGGUGGAAGAACGAAUCGGUGCAAACACGUGCAGAAAAUAUAGAUGUGGACCUUGCCCUAUUCACUGCCGCGGUUGUAGCGGAUUUAUCCUCUUCAUUAAAAAAGAUAAUUAUUGUUACUAAGGAUUGUUCAUACUGUCACACUAGCACCAAAAUAAACUUCAUUAUUACAACACUUACAA